CCUACGGGAGACAGCAGUGGGGAAUAUUGGGCAAUGGACGCAAGUCUGACCCAGCAACGCCGCGUGAAGGGAGAAGGCUUUCGGGUUGUAAACUUCUUUUAAAGGGGAAGAGCAGAAGACGGUACCCCUUGAAUAAGCCACGGCUAACUACGUGCCAGCAGCCGCGGUAAUACGUAGGUGGCAAGCGUUGUCCGGAUUUACUGGGUGGAAAGGGCGUGCAGCCGGAGAGACAAGUCAGAUGUGAAAUCCACGGGCUCAACUCGUGAACUGCAUUUGAAACUGUUUCCCUUGAGUGUCGGAGAGGUAAUCGGAAUUCCUUGUGUAGCGGUGAAAUGCGUAGAUAUAAGGAAGAACACCAGUGGCGAAGGCGGAUUACUGGACGAUAACUGACGGUGAGGCGCGAAAGCGUGGGGAGCAAACAGGAUUAGAUACCCCUGUAGUC
RNAcentral lists this ribosomal RNA (442 nucleotides) under uncultured bacterium. RNAcentral's name for it is "partial 16S ribosomal RNA". It matches the Rfam family "Bacterial small subunit ribosomal RNA", at positions 338 to 795 of the family's 1533-position model. The record is from RNAcentral.